Molecule: long non-coding RNA, 333 nt
Organism: Actinia tenebrosa (Australian red waratah sea anemone)
Lineage: Eukaryota; Metazoa; Cnidaria; Anthozoa; Actiniaria; Actiniidae
Source: RefSeq, a predicted model, not a curated record
UCCAGGGUUUUUGAUCUCAACGAAAAGAGGAAGAAAGUCAAAAUCAUUGAAGAGGUAUUAUCUUAACUUCCAUUCAACUUAUCCGCCAAUGCAAAAAUAAAUGAUGAUAAUGUCAAAAGGAAGCGGAGUAGGACCAUGGAAAGUAAUAUCGCUGUGACUAAAUGAAGACACAGAAAACAUGAAAACCUGAUACUGAUGCUGCCUCAAGUGAUUUUAGUUGCAUAUUGAAGAAAACUGAAUGUGAUAAAAUGUAGACUCUAUACCUGUAGCGCUAGCAUUGUGUAAAACGCUAGUUCUAUAUAUCAACGCUAGCAACAGUAACUUUAAAACACA